This is a non-coding RNA of Mycena latifolia, 107 nucleotides long. The record is from the annotation of a GenBank genome assembly. Lineage: Eukaryota; Fungi; Basidiomycota; Agaricomycetes; Agaricales; Mycenaceae.
GGCGCUAUGGCCGAGUGGUUAAGGCGACAGAUUAGAAUGAUAGUCCAUCAGGAUUUGAACCUAUCUGUUCCGGUUUCCGGGCGCAGGUUCAAAUCCUGCUGGCGUCG